GCAUAUAUAGCUUACCCCCAAAGCAUGGCGCUGAAAACGCCAAGACAGACCCUAAAAAGUCUUAUAAGCA
This 70-nucleotide transfer RNA is filed under the name Breviceps poweri (Power's rain frog). Its description in RNAcentral is "tRNA-Phe". The record is from RNAcentral. Lineage: Eukaryota; Metazoa; Chordata; Amphibia; Anura; Brevicipitidae.